Molecule: transfer RNA, 87 nt
Filed under: Mangrovactinospora gilvigrisea
Lineage: Bacteria; Bacillati; Actinomycetota; Actinomycetes; Kitasatosporales; Streptomycetaceae
Description: Streptomyces gilvigriseus tRNA-Leu
Rfam family: tRNA
About the family: Transfer RNA (tRNA) molecules are approximately 80 nucleotides in length.
Source: RNAcentral
GCCGGAAUGGUGGAAUCGGUAGACACGCGACCCUCAAAAGGUUGUGUCCGAAAGGGCGUGCGGGUUCGAGUCCCGCUUCCGGCACCA